This 311-nucleotide unclassified non-coding RNA is filed under the name Bombus terrestris (buff-tailed bumblebee). RNAcentral's name for it is "misc RNA ENSBTSG00005026049.1". The record is from RNAcentral. Lineage: Eukaryota; Metazoa; Arthropoda; Insecta; Hymenoptera; Apidae.
CUGUUACAUAUAUCACCAAGGGUGCGGAGAUAGUAAAGUAAUUGAUAUGAAGCUGGACGAAAGGAUGGUAGAGGUCGGUUAGGAAGAGGGAGUUAUACCGAUGGAAGUAAAAAGGCUCCAGGAAAAGGAAGAAGGGAUGAGAGAAGAAGGAAAAUCCAUCGACUCACGUGAGAAAGUCUCGGGAUAAGAAGGAACUGGACGCGGAGAGAAACAGCGAACGAACAAGCAAAGAGGCCUUCUCUGUGGCUCUUGUUCGUGACUGAAAAAGAAGUCGGCGCUGAUCAAACGAAGACGCUCAGGAGAAACAUGAA